Magallana angulata is the source of this 364-nucleotide long non-coding RNA. RefSeq lists it as uncharacterized. The transcript is spliced from 4 exons. NCBI's taxonomy places the organism in Eukaryota, Metazoa, Mollusca, Bivalvia, Ostreida, Ostreidae. The record is from RefSeq and is a predicted model, not a curated record.
CAGAGCUACACAGCCCGAUGCAUGUGCAUUCGACUUAGCCCAAACUUUGCGAGAUGGAGUGCUUAUAUGUUACCUUCUAAACAACUUAUCACCUAAUUCAGUGGACCCGAAAGAUUUCAGUCAGGGACCUCAGCUGUCACAGUUUUUGUGCUUGAAGAAUAUUCGAACAUUUCUUCAGUCAUGCCAGUCAGUUUUUGGUUUGAGCACCUCAGAUUUGUUUGACCCAUUAGACUUAUUUGAGGUCAGGGACUUCAGAAAGGUUUUGACUACUCUCUCCAAACUUUCAAACACAUCAAUUGCCAGAAGGAAGCACAGUGGUUUUCCUCCCGAGCGGACAUCUCAUCGGCCAUCGUGGCAAUACCAA